RNAcentral lists this ribosomal RNA (634 nucleotides) under Microbacteriaceae bacterium Se1Pt_308. RNAcentral's name for it is "bacterial SSU rRNA". It matches the Rfam family "Bacterial small subunit ribosomal RNA", at positions 383 to 1030 of the family's 1533-position model. Lineage: Bacteria; Bacillati; Actinomycetota; Actinomycetes; Micrococcales; Microbacteriaceae. RNAcentral also lists the same sequence under 1 other name. The record is from RNAcentral.
CUGAUGCAGCAACGCCGCGUGAGGGACGAAGGCCUUCGGGUUGUAAACCUCUUUUAGUAGGGAAGAAGCGAAAGUGACGGUACCUGCAGAAAAAGCACCGGCUAACUACGUGCCAGCAGCCGCGGUAAUACGUAGGGUGCAAGCGUUGUCCGGAAUUAUUGGGCGUAAAGAGCUCGUAGGCGGUUUGUCGCGUCUGCUGUGAAAACUGGAGGCUCAACCUCCAGCCUGCAGUGGGUACGGGCAGACUAGAGUGCGGUAGGGGAGAUUGGAAUUCCUGGUGUAGCGGUGGAAUGCGCAGAUAUCAGGAGGAACACCGAUGGCGAAGGCAGAUCUCUGGGCCGUAACUGACGCUGAGGAGCGAAAGCAUGGGGAGCGAACAGGAUUAGAUACCCUGGUAGUCCAUGCCGUAAACGUUGGGAACUAGAUGUAGGGGCCAUUCCACGGUUUCUGUGUCGCAGCUAACGCAUUAAGUUCCCCGCCUGGGGAGUACGGCCGCAAGGCUAAAACUCAAAGGAAUUGACGGGGGCCCGCACAAGCGGCGGAGCAUGCGGAUUAAUUCGAUGCAACGCGAAGAACCUUACCAAGGCUUGACAUAUACCGGAAACGGCUAGAGAUAGUCGCCCCGCAAGGUCGG